UGGGGAAUAUUGCACAAUGGGGGGAACCCUGAUGCAGCCAUGCCGCGUGAAUGAAAAAGGCCUUCGGGUUGUAAAGUUCUUUCGGUGACGAGGAAGGUUGGUAGGUUAAUAGCCUAUCAAAUUGACGUUAAUCACAGAAGAAGCACCGGCUAACUCCGUGCCAGCAGCCGCGGUAAUACGGGGGGUGCGAGCGUUAAUCGGAAUAACUGGGCGUAAAGGGCACGCAGGCGGUGACUUAAGUGAGAUGUGAAAGCCCCGAGCUUAACUUGGGAAUUGCAUUUCAUACUGGGUCGCUAGAGUACUUUAGGGAGGGGUAGAAUUCCACGUGUAGCGGUGAAAUGCGUAGAGAUGUGGAGGAAUACCGAAGGCGAAGGCAGCCCCUUGGGAAUGUACUGACGCUCAUGUGCGAAAGCGUGGGGAGCAGACAGGAUUAGAUACCCUGGUAGUCCACGCUGUAAACGAUGUCGAUUUGGGGAUUGGGCUUUGAGCUUGGUGCCCGUAGCUAACGUGAUAAAUCGACCGCCUGGGGAGUACGGCCGCAAGGUUA
This 547-nucleotide ribosomal RNA is filed under the name uncultured bacterium. RNAcentral's name for it is "bacterial SSU rRNA". It matches the Rfam family "Bacterial small subunit ribosomal RNA", at positions 355 to 896 of the family's 1533-position model. The record is from RNAcentral.